RNAcentral lists this long non-coding RNA (702 nucleotides) under Oryctolagus cuniculus (rabbit). Its description in RNAcentral is "lncRNA (ENSOCUG00000036483.1)". The record is from RNAcentral. Lineage: Eukaryota; Metazoa; Chordata; Mammalia; Lagomorpha; Leporidae.
CUUUCCAUGCUCGUCUUGAAUUAACUCUUUGGUCACCCACAGCAACCCUGGGGGGGUGUUAUCACCACGCACACCUUACAGGAGAGGAGGCCAGGGCAGGGAGGGGCUAAGCAACUCGCCCCAAGUGUGCAGUAAGCCCCUCCCAUCCCCCAGCAGGCUGGCCCCCGCCUUGGCCCUCCGGCCUGCUCAGCUGCCCGUAGCACAGAGCGCAGUGACCCCCCACCCACCUCGGAGGACCCCAGGGCGGGGCCCAUGAAGACUUCGUUCUUGAACCCCGGGGCGCUACCACAAAGGGAGAGCGUGAUGCCGGAGGAACCAUGCAUUCACGCUGGAGGAGGCUGGGACCCAGACCCGGCGAGACACGCUGCCCCUCAAGAGAAAGGUGGGGGCGGCACUCGCCGCCGGCUGCCCCCCUCCCACGCAGCACAUGGGGGCAGCGGACGGCGGACCAAGCAACGUCCAUCUCUGUCCUCCUGGACCUCACUUCCCCUCCAGAGCCCAGCCGCCUGGCAGCCUGCACACGGCGGUGAAUUUCCCACGUGCCCAUCUGCCCCACCCGUGCCCUGCCCAGGACACAGGACUCCCAACCCCAGCACCACCAUGCUCCUCACCCAGCAGCCUGCAGCAGGAGCCCCGCCCACUGUCCCCACCUCACCUCUGACCUACCACCAAGGCCAUGGUCACGCCUCCAGGGUGACGGAC